Molecule: ribosomal RNA, 385 nt
Filed under: uncultured bacterium
Lineage: Bacteria
Description: partial 16S ribosomal RNA
Rfam family: Bacterial small subunit ribosomal RNA
Source: RNAcentral
UAGGGAAUAUUGGACAAUGGGCGAAAGCCUGAUCCAGCAACUCCGCGUGAAUGAUGAAGGCCUUAGGGUUGUAAAGUUCUUUUAGUAGGGAAGAUAAUGACGGUACCUACAGAAAAAGCACCGGCUAACUUCGUGCCAGCAGCCGCGGUAAUACGAAGGGUGCUAGCGUUACUCGGAAUCACUGGGCGUAAAGAGUGCGUAGGCGGCUGAGAAAGUUGAAGGUGAAAUCCUUGGGCUCAACCCAAGAACUGCUUUCAAUACUACUCAGCUAGAGGACUAGGAGAGAUAGUGGAAUUGUUGGUGUAGAGGUGAAAUUCGUAGAUAUCAGCAGGAACAUCGGUGGCGAAAGUGGCUAUCUGCCUAGAUUCUGACGCUGUUGCACGAA